Molecule: unclassified non-coding RNA, 201 nt
Filed under: Hevea brasiliensis (rubber tree)
Lineage: Eukaryota; Viridiplantae; Streptophyta; Magnoliopsida; Malpighiales; Euphorbiaceae
Source: RNAcentral
GAUUUGUUUAAUGAGCUCAGCUUGCAUCUUCGGGUCAACUUGAUGGGGUAUGAUUAUAGUGGAUAUGGACAGUCCAGUGGAAAGCCAACUGAGCAGAAUACUUAUGCGGACAUAGAAGCUGCAUAUAGGUGCCUCGAAGAGAGAUAUGGAGUGAAGGAAGAAGAUAUCAUCCUAUAUGGACAAUCAGUUGGAAGUGGACCU